GUUGUAAACUCCUUUUCUGAGGGAACAAGUAUGAGGGUACCUCAAGAAUAAGGCGCUGCUUAACUACGUGCCAGCAGCAGCGGUAAUACGUAGGCGCCAAGCGUUAUCCGGAAUUACUGGGCGUAAAGAGUCUUGUAGGCGGCGGAUAAAGUCGAGUGUUAAAUUUUCAUGCUCAACGUGAAAAAUGUACUCGAAACUUAUUUGCUUAGAGUCUGAGAGAGGCUACUUGGAAUUCCCCUUGAAGGAGUAAAAUCCCGUAGAUAAUUGGGAGGAACCACCAAAAAGCGAAAGGCAGGUAGCUGGAUCAGGACUGAACGCUUGAGAGAACGAAAGCGGUGGGGUAGCCGAACAGGAUUAGAUACCCUGGUAGUUCACGCCGUAAACGAUGAGUGCUAGGCGUUGGAGAGUCAUUUCGACCCUUUCCAGUGUCUAAAGUUAACACGUUAAGCACUCCGCCUGGGGAGUACGAGCGCAAGCUUAAAACUCAAAGGAAUAGACGGGGGCCCGCACAAGCGGUGGAGCAUGUGGUUUAAUUCGACAAUAAGCGAGGAACCUCACCUGGGCUUGACAUCUCAAGAAUCCUCUGGAAACAGAGGAGUGCCCGCAAGGGAAUUUGAUGACAGGCGCUGCAUGGUUGUCGUCAGCUCGUGCCAUGAGGUGUUCGGUUAAGUCCGUAAACGAGCGCAACCCUUAUCGUAUGUUGUAUUUUUCAUACGAGACUGCCGGUUUUACACCGGAGGAAGGUGGGGAUGACGUCAAAUCAGCAUGGCCCUUAUGUCCAGGGCGACACACGUGCUACAAUGGGGAGUACAAUGGGUAGCCAAGGCGCAAGCCGGAGCUAAUCCUCAAAACUCCUCUCAGUUCGGAUUUGAGGGCUGCAAUUCGCCCUCAUGAAGUUGAAUCGCCAGUACCGCAGAUCAGCACGCUGCGGUGAUAUGUUCCCGGGCAUUGUACUCACCGCCCGUCACGUCAUGGAAGAUGGGAGCA
This 987-nucleotide ribosomal RNA is filed under the name uncultured organism. RNAcentral's name for it is "bacterial SSU rRNA". It matches the Rfam family "Bacterial small subunit ribosomal RNA", at positions 422 to 1419 of the family's 1533-position model. The record is from RNAcentral.